AUACGUAGGGGGCAAGCGUUAUCCGGAUUCAUUGGGCGUAAAGCGCGCGCAGGCGGCCUCGUAGGCCGGGAGUCAAAUCCGGGGGCUUAACCCCCGUCCGCUUCCGGAACCACGGGGCUUGAGUCUGGUAGGGGAGGGUGGAAUUCCCAGUGUAGCGGUGGAAUGCGCAGAUAUUGGGAAGAACACCGGUGGCGAAGGCGGCCCUCUGGGCCAUGACUGACGCUGAGGCGCGAAAGCUAGGGGAGCGAACAGGAUUAGAUACCCUGGUAGUCCUAGCCGUAAACGAUGGACGCUAGGUGUGGGGGGAUUCUCCCUCUGUGCCGCAGCUAACGCAUUAAGCGUCCCGCCUGGGGAGUACGGCCGCAAGGCUAAA
This 373-nucleotide ribosomal RNA is filed under the name uncultured bacterium. RNAcentral describes it as "bacterial SSU rRNA". It matches the Rfam family "Bacterial small subunit ribosomal RNA", at positions 523 to 898 of the family's 1533-position model. The record is from RNAcentral.